UUUGAGAAAUGCUUCAUUUGAGAAGAGUACAAGCUUUGGAAGGAGAGCAACUAUCUACCAUACUGGAAUAUGCUCUACUAUUCUAUUGUUCGUGACUAUGUGAGAUGGUGAAACUCUAAAUCACAGAAUUAUGUAUCCAUUUUAAAGAUCUGAGAUGAGCUAAAGUGACUUCAGUUGAUGUGUUCUAUUUUAAACCCACAUGAAGAAUAAACAAAGUACAGGAAACAACCUCAAUAGUGACACAGACAAGCUUCAAUAAGAAUGGAAUUUCCAAAUGUAAUAAUAAAUGGCACAUUACCAUCAGCCCUCCUGUUGAUUUUCGUCUGAGUAUCCAGGCUUCAGUGAUUGCCGGCAUGGCUACUAACUGCAGAAUCAUUCAAGUAAUACGACACAGCUAUUUUGCUGAUGACUACUCUGAAUUUAACAUUUCUUAUGCUCAAGAGUCUUUCAAAAAUAAAAAAAAGUAAUGGUCUUUACUAGAAUUUUGUUAAAGAAAAAUGUCAUAAAUAUGCAAAAUAUAAAAUAGAAACCAAGGUAAUUACGAAAUAAUAAAGGCAGAGCAUGCAACAUCCAAUAUCUGAAAUAAUAUUCAUGAGUAUAUUUUAAACUAUUCAAAAUAUUCAUUUUUAUUAAUAUCCUGCAGAAUAUUUUAUGAUUUUCUGAAUUCCAUGAUGUGUGAAUGUUGACCAGAUGUUUAAUGUUACUGCUAGUAACAUCAGCAUACUUGGAUUUAUCUUUUAAAGGGACUUUACCCAGAAAGAAUUUAUGACAAUAUGUAAUCACUGAAAAUGUACACUAAAUUAUUCUGACUUGUAAGCAUGCAGAAUAGAUUUGUUAAAUUUUAGUAAAGUCCAGCUAUGUUCUUGAAGUCAGAAAAAAAUAAAAUAAGGUAAUUUUCUCUAAUAAACUCAUAUAAGCAAGUUAGAGGUUUUGAUUAAUAUUAACAAGUCUUCCAUUUAGAAUUUAAGGCAUGCUCUUUGCUGUAAGUAGGAAUUAAUUUAGAAAUAUUAUAUAUAAAUUAAUGUAAAUAACCUUACACAAAAUAAUUAUGAAUUAAAUAAUCUUCUCGCAAAAGAUAUAUUGAAGUCCUGACUCCCACCCCACCCACUACUUCAGACUAUGGUCUCAUUUGGAAAUGGGGUCUUGCAGUUAUGAAUCACAUUAAGAUUAAGUCAUAUUGCAGUGGGAUGUGUCCCUAACUUAAUAUGACUGUGUCCUUAUAAAACAAUGGCCUU
Molecule: long non-coding RNA, 1235 nt
Filed under: Callithrix jacchus (white-tufted-ear marmoset)
Lineage: Eukaryota; Metazoa; Chordata; Mammalia; Primates; Cebidae
Description: lncRNA (ENSCJAG00000077901.1)
Source: RNAcentral